This is a long non-coding RNA of Lycium barbarum (goji berry), 545 nucleotides long. RefSeq lists it as uncharacterized. The record is from RefSeq and is a predicted model, not a curated record. The transcript has 3 exons. Lineage: Eukaryota; Viridiplantae; Streptophyta; Magnoliopsida; Solanales; Solanaceae.
CUUAAGUAGGAUUCAUCUUCUUCAAGAAAAUCCUAAGGAAGGUGAAAAAGGGUUUUGGUGAUAAAGGGAGGAUUCAACUCUAAGCUUGUUCCACCAUCAUCUAAGGUAUACAUGAGUGCAUCAUAGGGGAAGCAAGCAAGCGAUAAGAAUAGUAAACGUCAAAGGUAGACAGGAAGGUGAGCUUGGUCCAGACCCUUAGUAGCUGUCAACUGAUUGAGAGCACUCCAUUGUCCGGAGGUGCUUAUGGUUCUUCUUUUGGUAUAUAUGCAUAUUUUGGGCAUGACGGAGUCUUGUUCCGUCUAUAUGUUUAGUAUGUCAGUAGAGGCUCGUAGAUACGCAGUGUGGGUCAGAUGGUCUCACAAGAUGUUAUUAUUAUGUAUAUAUUAUUUUGAUGGCCGAGAGGCAAAUGUAUAUAAGUAUUUAUGUUUCUAUAUAAAAUAUGAUUUUCCUACAAUUCGUGUAUAAAAUUGGUAAAAGGGCAUUAAAUGAGUAAGAUGAGUAUUAGAACGAGUGGUGCUCGGUGGCUAGCCCCGGGUACCCGUCAC